This 549-nucleotide ribosomal RNA is filed under the name Penicillium sp. F58. RNAcentral describes it as "eukaryotic LSU rRNA". The stretch from base 168 to 320 matches the Rfam family "5.8S ribosomal RNA". Lineage: Eukaryota; Fungi; Ascomycota; Eurotiomycetes; Eurotiales; Aspergillaceae. The record is from RNAcentral.
GGUAGGCUCUGGGUCACCUCCCACCCGUGUUUAUUUUACCUUGUUGCUUCGGCGGGCCCGCCUUAACUGGCCGCCGGGGGGCUUACGCCCCCGGGCCCGCGCCCGCCGAAGACACCCUCGAACUCUGUCUGAAGAUUGUAGUCUGAGUGAAAAUAUAAAUUAUUUAAAACUUUCAACAACGGAUCUCUUGGUUCCGGCAUCGAUGAAGAACGCAGCGAAAUGCGAUACGUAAUGUGAAUUGCAAAUUCAGUGAAUCAUCGAGUCUUUGAACGCACAUUGCGCCCCCUGGUAUUCCGGGGGGCAUGCCUGUCCGAGCGUCAUUGCUGCCCUCAAGCACGGCUUGUGUGUUGGGCCCCGUCCUCCGAUCCCGGGGGACGGGCCCGAAAGGCAGCGGCGGCACCGCGUCCGGUCCUCGAGCGUAUGGGGCUUUGUCACCCGCUCUGUAGGCCCGGCCGGCGCUUGCCGAUCAACCCAAAUUUUUUAUCCAGGUUGACCUCGGAUCAGGUAGGGAUACCCGCUGAACUUAAGCAUAUCAUGGAGACGGAGGAA